GUGCGGGACUGGGGCUCCUGGCUGUGGGUGUGGUACCGAGGCUUCAGCGGGUGCCGCCCGCCUAGAGGGAGUGGAGCGGUGAGCACGUCAGGGGUGGGGGGCGCAGGUCAAGCUUUCACCAGUUUUUAAUUCUUUGAUGGGGUAAAUUUGAGCAAUUUUCUCGACUUGUCGACAUUCGUUAUUAACUGAGCAGGAAUCAGGAGAGGAACCCGGUCCUCUCCACACAGCCCAGCAGAGAGCCUACGACUAGAUUUGCAUCUUUACGUCCUGCGCGGAGGCUGCUACACACAUGCAGAAGUCAUGCUGGUGGCCUGGACAGUGAAGGGAGAGAAGUGGAUUUGGGAGACAUUUAGGAGAAGAAUCCCAGACUUCUUAGAGAACCCAGUGACUUUUUGCACCUUAAAUCUGUGAAAUCCUCAUGUUUUCUUCUGCCGUAUCCAUAGUUCAAACAAAGAUGAGGCAAAGCUAGAUGCAUUCCUGAAGGAACCCAAGAAAUUCCUCUCUUUAUUUCUCUGGAAUGAAAUGAAUUCUCUAGACCACCAGUUCUAACCUUCAAAAACCAAACCUGUUUGUGAGAUCUCCUUCAAAUACUACUGUAGACCCCAGUGUUUAUUCAUUAAAUUUUUAAAAUAUUUGUUUUAUUUGGAAUCCAUGUAUUUGUAAUUUUAGUGUUUGUAUUAAUAUAAGGGAGAAAUGUUUAAAUCUGUCUAUGCCAUAUGUGCCUCUGGCUUAUUGCCCAAUUAAUUGUAGACUCAGGCUAAACUUUGGUUUCUGUCUUUAAUUUUUGUCAGAAGAAAUAUAACUGAUCUCAAAACA
Homo sapiens (human) is the source of this 816-nucleotide long non-coding RNA. Ensembl annotates it as ribosomal protein L23a pseudogene 7. Its record names the gene RPL23AP7. Lineage: Eukaryota; Metazoa; Chordata; Mammalia; Primates; Hominidae. The record is from Ensembl.